Molecule: ribosomal RNA, 478 nt
Filed under: uncultured Roseobacter sp.
Lineage: Bacteria; Pseudomonadati; Pseudomonadota; Alphaproteobacteria; Rhodobacterales; Roseobacteraceae
Description: bacterial SSU rRNA
Rfam family: Bacterial small subunit ribosomal RNA
Source: RNAcentral
AGAGUUUGAUCCUGGCUCAGAACGAACGCUGGCGGCAGGCCUAACACAUGCAAGUCGAGCGCACCCUUCGGGGCGAGCGGCGGACGGGUUAGUAACGCGUGGGAACGUACCCUUCUCUAUGGAAUAGCCAUUGGAAACGAUGAGUAAUACCAUAUACGCCCUUCGGGGGAAAGAUUUAUCGGAGAAGGAUCGGCCCGCGUUAGAUUAGAUAGUUGGUGGGGUAAUGGCCUACCAAGUCUACGAUCUAUAGCUGGUUUUAGAGGAUGAUCAGCAACACUGGGACUGAGACACGGCCCAGACUCCUACGGGAGGCAGCAGUGGGGAAUCUUAGACAAUGGGCGCAAGCCUGAUCUAGCCAUGCCGCGUGUGUGAUGAAGGUCUUAGGAUCGUAAAGCACUUUCGCCAGGGAUGAUAAUGACAGUACCUGGUAAAGAAACCCCGGCUAACUCCGUGCCAGCAGCCGCGGUAAUAAGGGCGA